RNAcentral lists this transfer RNA (62 nucleotides) under Doriprismatica atromarginata. Its description in RNAcentral is "tRNA-Ser". Lineage: Eukaryota; Metazoa; Mollusca; Gastropoda; Nudibranchia; Chromodorididae. The record is from RNAcentral.
UGAAGAUUUGAAACUUAGGCUGCUAACUUGAGUUCGGGAGAAUGUUUGUCUUCCAUUUUCAU